This 336-nucleotide unclassified non-coding RNA is filed under the name uncultured Mortierellaceae. RNAcentral describes it as "sequence contains ITS2". Lineage: Eukaryota; Fungi; Mortierellomycota; Mortierellomycetes; Mortierellales; Mortierellaceae. The record is from RNAcentral.
AACGCAUAUUGUGCUCUUUGGUAUUCCAAAGAGCAUGCUUGUUUGAGUAUCAGUAAACACCUCAACCUCUCUUUUUUGAUAAAAAAAAGGGAGGGUGGACUUGAGCUAUCCCAACGACCUUCACUGGUAGGCAGGCAGCUUGAAAUGCAGGUGCAGCUGGACUUUUAUCUGAGCUAAAAGCAUAUCUAUUUAGUCCUCAUCAAACAGGAUUAUUACUUUUGCUGCAGCUAACAUAAAGGAUAAUUGUCCUCUUUGCUGACUGAUGCAGGAUUUUAUGACACUUUAUGUGUUGUUCAACUCGAUCUCAAAUCAAGUAAGACUACCUGCUGAACUUAA